UGGGGAAUAUUGCACAAUGGGGGAAACCCUGAUGCAGCAACGCCGCGUGAAGGAUGAAGGUUUUCGGAUUGUAAACUUCUUUGACGAGGGACGAAUAAUGACGGUACCUCGAAAACAAGCCACGGCUAACUACGUGCCAGCAGCCGCGGUAAUACGUAGGUGGCAAGCGUUGUCCGGAUUUACUGGGUGUAAAGGGCGAGUAGGCGGGACUGUAAGUCAGUAGUGAAAUGCGGAGGCUCAACCUCCGAGCUGCUAUUGAAACUGCAGUUCUUGAGUGAUGGAGAGGUAAGUGGAAUUCCCGGUGUAGCGGUGAAAUGCGUAGAGAUCGGGAGGAACACCAGUGGCGAAGGCGACUUACUGGACAUUAACUGACGCUGAGGCGCGAAAGCGUGGGGAGCAAACA
This 403-nucleotide ribosomal RNA is filed under the name uncultured Eubacteriales bacterium. RNAcentral's name for it is "uncultured Clostridiales bacterium partial 16S ribosomal RNA". It matches the Rfam family "Bacterial small subunit ribosomal RNA", at positions 355 to 774 of the family's 1533-position model. The record is from RNAcentral. Lineage: Bacteria; Bacillati; Bacillota; Clostridia; Eubacteriales.